Molecule: long non-coding RNA, 4027 nt
Filed under: Lynx pardinus (Iberian lynx)
Lineage: Eukaryota; Metazoa; Chordata; Mammalia; Carnivora; Felidae
Source: RNAcentral
GUCCUUAGCACUCAGUGUUCCUCCAAAAUAAUCCUUCCCGAUUAAAUCAGGAGGAGUAAACUGCUUAGCAAUCAUAAGGGGAAGGCGAUAGAAUUGUGCAAAACCUAUUUUUUACCAUCUUCAUGUGAACUCAGGUUACUGAACAACCACUUACAUCUGAGCUGUGGUUUCUUCCUUGUUUUGAAAUUUAGUUUCUAGAAGAUAAUGCUUUCAAAUGGCUUCUUGUUCAUGUCUUCCUCAGGGACUACCAGCUGCUGCCUGAAGAUUGCCUGGCAGGCCUGACCCCUUGGCAAAGCAAAGCGUCCAGUGAGGUCUUUGCAAAAAGUCUCUCCAAGGAGCUGAGGAGCUGGGCAUCAGUACAGCAGAAAAAUGCAAACCAAUCAAGUCACAGAUUUUUCAGGCAUGCCAACCUUCUGGUCCUAGGCAUGAAGCAUUCCAAAAAGCCUAGGAAAAUUCAUAUGUUUUCCUAAGAAUGAACCGAUAUCUUGUCCUUCCAAGUUGUAUCCUCUGAUCCCUCCCUGAGAGGCAGCCAUGAUCUCUGAGGGGUGAUAAUAGCUGGGCCUCCUGGCUGAGUGAAUCAUACCAACUGUAAGCUUGGCUUAUGACCCAGAAAUGGAAACAGGAAGUGGCUUACAGAAUAUAAAGAGCACAGUCAAGGAAGGAGUGCAGUAGAAUUCUCCUCGGAUGACAUGGUGUACAAUAGACAGAGGUGAAGACUGGCAUUUUUCCUUUUUUCUUUUUUCUCUUUUUUCUUUUCUUUCUCUUACCAUGAUGCCCUCUGGCAGGGCUGGGCCAUCUGAAUGGGGAGUGGGAUGUCUUCCCCGGGGUGGCAGAGGGGGAACCACUGUGGAUAAGUAGCUUCUCUCCAUAGGGAGCCCAUCUGUGGGAUGCUAUGGCCCCUUUUCACCUCAUCUUUGCAAAUUAAUUUGGGUUCUUCAGAAUGUAUUUUGCCAGGCUUUAUAAAUGUAAACUCUCAAGAGGUGCUUCCAACAAGAAAAACCGACUUCUGGCAGCUUUGAAUAGUUCCCAGAAGGUUCUCUGAGCCCAUGGGGGGAGGGCUUCCUUGCACUCAUGCUGAGAUACAAAAAUCCACUGUCAUCCCUAGAUACCUGGAGGGGGCUGGAUGGGGAGGGAGCCUGUCCUGCUCUGGGCAUGGCCCUGGGGCAUGGUGGCUGCAGGCGGGGUGGCCAGUUGGGUGGACAGGAGUUUGGAGGGCUGACCUCCCUCUAGAUGAAGGGCACCUCCCAGAGCUUCCCCACACUCCCCUUUAUGCCUCUCCCAGGGCUGGAGAGCAGCUAGUGGAGGCUGAGGCCUGGCACAUUGACUCAAACCAAAUCAUCCAGUGCUUUGUCCUUAGUGUUCGCUGUUCCACCACAGUUACCAUCCCCAAUGAAAUCAGGAUGAGUAAACUCCUAAACUGGGUACUGGGCCCACCUAUGCCAGUGGAUGAAUCUUGAAGACCUGAGGCAGAGCAGGGCCUGGGCCCUGAGGAGGGCCCAUCCAGGAACCAGUCUACCAUCAACAAAUGCCUCCUGAGGACCCUCUCUAGACCAGUUUCUCAGACUGGAGUCCUGAAGCAGUGGCAAAAAAUGAUGGGUGGGAGUGGAGCUUUUAAAAAGGCUGAUUUUCAGGGUGCCUGGGUGGCUCAGUCGGUUAACCGUCUGACUUCGGCCCGGGUCAUGAUCUCGCAGUUCGUGGGUUCGAGCCCAGCAUCAGGUUCUGUGCUGACAGCUCAGCUGUGGAUUCUGUGUCUCCCUCUUUCUCUGCCCUUCCCCUGCUCACACACUGUCUGUCUCUCUCUCUCUCUCUCUCUCUCCCUCUCUCUCAAAAAUAAAUAAACAUUAAAAACAAAUAAAAAUUAAUUAAUUUUAAAAAGGCUGACUUUUGGUCUCCUCUAUAGGCCUCCAGAAUCCAAAAUUUUCAAAGAAAGUCCUGGAAAUCUGUGUUUUUGCACGCGUUCUCUUCCCUAGGCCGGCCAGUGCAGUAAAAUUUAAGAAUCUUUCUCUAUACCAGUCCUGGUCUCAUUUAUUAUCCUUUUCAUGAAAAUAUUUCGUUUUCAACCUUUUGUGACUUCUGAAAAUGGAAUCUGAAGCAGAGGGAUCCACUUCCAUAAUACCGCCUGUGGCCAUCACUGGCACACUUGGCUUGCCGAUUUUAUCAGAGGAUGCGAAGGAAGCCAACCUUUGAUUAUCACGAUGCCCAUAUCUACUUUUCCGUUGACUUGUCGCCAUUAAAGGCGCCUCUCCAGCUUUUCUUUUUCGCCUCUUUCUGCGAGAAUAUGGGCCUGGUGCUCUUGGAAACUGUGCUCUUGGAGCCCUUGAGCGCAGGGGCGAGUGAAAGUAAACUUGUUCAAGUUCCCUGAAGAAGCGGGAGUGGAAUCCAUCGGUGUUCCCACGGAGAAAGCACUGACUCCAAGAGAACGCAGGAUGAAUGGAGAAGGAUGACGUCACAAAGAUGUCCGGGGAAACACCGGAACACCGUCACUCUGCUCACUCCUUGGUCUCCUCCCACCACUUCCUCCAGCCCUCCCGGAACUCCUUCUGCCUCAGGAGUAAUGCGAGCAAUGCAGUGUGUGCUGGUAAACCAGCUAGCUCUCUGAAAAAAAAAAAAAAAAGAAAAGAAAAACAAAAAUCCGAAUUUGUACUAUUUGCCAGUUUCCACGGUGUAAACACUCCCACCACGGCAGAUUUCAACUUACCGGUGGUUUAACAGCAGACUCACAACAUUUUCAAAUAUUCAAUAAUCGGCUCUUGCAAACCAGGAGGGGACAACUCCAGCAUGUCCUCAAUAGUCCUGCCCCAGAAAAUCCCCAAAUCACACCCCGGGUGAGUAUCACUUUCAGCUUCUCAGUCAGAAGGAGAAGUGGUUACUGUAUGACCGGAUUGUUAUGACUAAUAUCAAAGUGCCAAACGUGGAAGGGCACGAUGCAGAGGGUGAGGUUUUGUUUGCCAAAUUGGAGGAGUCUUCAUUUCUCAAUCUUGGUCUCCUCUCCUUCCCUGGGCUGGGGCAUCGGAGGGAGCCCCGUCCACAGAGCUUCUCAUUGGCCUCAUAACAGAGAUGCACGUAAGACUUAGCCUCCCCCACCCCCCAGAGCUCCCCCAAACUUGCUCUCUCCUUUAAAACCCCAGGACCCUAUGCUAGAGAACAGAAUGCUCCUUCUUUCAUUAGAUAAGUUAAAAAUGGAGGGUUUGGAAGCCAUUCUGGAUUCUGGGUUCUGCCUUUUUGGUUUGGAAGGUGCUUAAAAGCUUUUUCUUAAAAAGCUGGACACAGGAGGCGUGCCUGGGUGGCUCAGUCAGUUGAGUGUGAGACUUCAGCUCAGGUCACGAUCUCAAGGUUUGUGAGGUUUGUGAGUUCAAGCCCCGCGUAGAGCUCUGUGCUGACAGCUGGGAGCCUGGAGCUUGCUUCAAAUUCUGUGUCUCCCUCUCUCUCUAUCUCACUGCCCCUCCCCCACUUGUGCUCUCUCCCUCUCUGUGUCUCUCUCUCAAAAACGAAUAAAAAUGUUAAAAAAAAAAAAAAAAAAAAGCUGGACUCGGAAGGAUUCUGUAACCAAGACCUAAAAGCUGAAAGCCUGGACUGAUCUUUCCUUGAUUUUUAAGGAGCCUGGAGAGUGACAGGGUGUGGGGCAGGUAGUUUUCAUAAAGUUGAGCAUGACCAAAUUUGCCCACAAUCGAUGAUCACACAACUCUUCCCCUUUAGGCCCUGGGGAUGCCAUUGGACUGAGCGCAGGAUGGUGACCUACUUUUCUUCCCAAAACAUUGGGCGGCCAGUUGCAUUUUCCGAUCUAAAACUCACCCACACUGCUACAGUUUCUGUUCCCCUCUGCUCCUGCUCCUGGGUGUGCUUCUGGCUGGAGCUGCUUUUGUAAAGUGGAGUUGAUCAUGGGAGUGCUCCUCCAAGAGGCUGGUCUGAAAGCCCCAACCCACAUCCCUCCCAGACAUCAGCAUGGGCACUCCAGCCGCACAAAUCCUGGCAGGUGUAGGAGAAUCCAGGUUUGCCCCGUCUCAGCCAGGGAAGUCAGUUAAAGAAA